RNAcentral lists this ribosomal RNA (293 nucleotides) under uncultured bacterium. Its description in RNAcentral is "partial 16S ribosomal RNA". It matches the Rfam family "Bacterial small subunit ribosomal RNA", at positions 775 to 1067 of the family's 1533-position model. The record is from RNAcentral.
GGAUUAGAUACCCUGGUAGUCCACGCCGUAAACGAUGUCUACUAGCCGUUGGGAAUCUUGAAUUCUUAGUGGCGCAGCUAACGCGAUAAGUAGACCGCCUGGGGAGUACGGCCGCAAGGUUAAAACUCAAAUGAAUUGACGGGGGCCCGCACAAGCGGUGGAGCAUGUGGUUUAAUUCGAUGCAACGCGAAGAACCUUACCAAGACUUGACAUCCUGCGAACUUUCUAGAGAUAGAUUGGUGCCUUCGGGAGCGCAGUGACAGGUGCUGCAUGGCUGUCGUCAGCUCGUGCCG